This 500-nucleotide ribosomal RNA is filed under the name uncultured bacterium. Its description in RNAcentral is "partial 16S ribosomal RNA". It matches the Rfam family "Bacterial small subunit ribosomal RNA", at positions 30 to 523 of the family's 1533-position model. The record is from RNAcentral.
AUUGAACGCUGGCGGCAUGCCUUACACAUGCAAGUCGAACGGCAGCACGGGAGCAAUCCUGGUGGCGAGUAGCGAACGGGUGAGUAAUAUAUCGGAACGUGCCCAGUCGUGGGGGAUAACGUAGCGAAAGCUACGCUAAUACCGCAUACGAUCUACGGAUGAAAGCGGGGGAUCGCAAGACCUCGCGCGAUUGGAGCGGCCGAUAUCAGAUUAGGUAGUUGGUGAGGUAAAGGCUCACCAAGCCGACGAUCUGUAGCUGGUCUGAGAGGACGACCAGCCACACUGGGACUGAGACACGGCCCAGACUCCUACGGGAGGCAGCAGUGGGGAAUUUUGGACAAUGGGCGCAAGCCUGAUCCAGCAAUGCCGCGUGCAGGAUGAAGGCCUUCGGGUUGUAAACUGCUUUUGUACGGAACGAAACGGCGAGCUCUAAUACAGUUUGCUAAUGACGGUACCGUAAGAAUAAGCACCGGCUAACUACGUGCCAGCAGCCGCAGUAA